AUUGAACGCUGGCGGCAUGCCUUACACAUGCAAGUCGAACGGCAGCGGGGGAGAAGCUUGCUUUUCCUGCCGGCGAGUGGCGAACGGGUGAGUAAUACAUCGGAACGUGCCCUGUAGUGGGGGAUAACUAGUCGAAAGAUUAGCUAAUACCGCAUACGACCUGAGGGUGAAAGUGGGGGACCGCAAGGCCUCAUGCUAUAGGAGCGGCCGAUGUCUGAUUAGCUAGUUGGUGGGGUAAAGACCUACCAAGGCGACGAUCAGUAGCUGGUCUGAGAGGACGAUCAGCCACACUGGGACUGAGACACGGCCCAGACUCCAACGGGAGGCAGCAGUGGGGAAUUUUGGACAAUGGGCGAAAGCCUGAUCCAGCAAUGCCGCGUGUGUGAAGAAGGCCUUCGGGUUGUAAAGCACUUUUGUCCGGAAAGAAAUGGCUCUGGUUAAUACCUGGGGUCGAUGACGGUACCGGAAGAAUAAGGACCGGCUAACUACGUGCCAGCCGCCGCGGUAA
This 508-nucleotide ribosomal RNA is filed under the name uncultured bacterium. Its description in RNAcentral is "partial 16S ribosomal RNA". It matches the Rfam family "Bacterial small subunit ribosomal RNA", at positions 30 to 523 of the family's 1533-position model. The record is from RNAcentral.